Molecule: non-coding RNA, 313 nt
Organism: Thermosphaera aggregans DSM 11486
Lineage: Archaea; Thermoproteati; Thermoproteota; Thermoprotei; Desulfurococcales; Desulfurococcaceae
Rfam family: Archaeal RNase P
About the family: Ribonuclease P (RNase P) is a ubiquitous endoribonuclease, found in archaea, bacteria and eukarya as well as chloroplasts and mitochondria.
Source: Rfam
GGGGCCGGGCGGCCCGUCGACGCCUCCGUUUGGAGGUGAGGAAACUCCGCGCACCCCGUGGCAGUGCGGCCCCGUAAGGGGCACGGGUAGUCCCCGUGGCAACGGCACAGAAACGGUACGGCCGUGGCUGGAUGGCCGUGAUGCGGGCGGGCCCCCGGUGACGGGGGUUUAAACCGUUGAGGACGGCUACGGACGCGUUGAAACGGCCGCCCCGCACGGUGCAAGGCCUGGUUCCGGUGUGAGGGCCACGCGACCGGUGUAGGCCGCUUAGACGAAUGCGGGCUUAACAGAACGCGGGUUACGGCCCGGCCCU